Long non-coding RNA from Oreochromis niloticus (Nile tilapia), 799 nucleotides. RefSeq lists it as uncharacterized. The record is from RefSeq and is a predicted model, not a curated record. Lineage: Eukaryota; Metazoa; Chordata; Actinopteri; Cichliformes; Cichlidae. The transcript is spliced from 4 exons.
UGUAAAUCAAUUGCAGUUAGAGGCUACAUUCAUUUUCUUUCUGUAAGCACUUAUUGAAAUUAUCUGAGCACAUUACAAGUACAUAUUUGCUUACUCUGUAUGCUCAAAUGUGACCCGUUAUAGCCAACAGAAAAAAAGCGGAGGCCCGAAAAACAGGUGGGGGUCCUCCACCACCACCACUCACAGAGGCUGAGCAGUUGGCCCUCAGCCAAAACAGUGGGCGCCCUGUGGCUGAAGGCAUCUCUGCGGGGACAUCCUCUGAGUCAAUAACCCCGCAAGACACAAGUGCCUACAUAAGAGUUGAUGGUGAUGGUGUACUGCAUCUGGUGCAGCCUCCUGUUGAGCCAGACCAACAUGCAGUUGAAAUUGAAGAAACAUUGACAGCUGUUACAGAGGAGGAAGCAACAGAGACACUUUAUGAGAGUGAUGAUGGAAAUGCAGAGGAAGAGGGUCCAGCCACUUCUCCAACAAACCUUUCCUCAGUAAGAUGUUCAGCACUGAUUUACAACCAACCUAAGUAGGCAUGUACUAUGAAUGUCAAUGCUAUUUCCUGUGUUUCCAUAGCUCCCUGUAAAGCAGCUGUAUAAGAAAUACUUGAUCAAGAAAAUAGAAAAAUGCGACUUGGAAAUGGAACACUUCAAGCAGCAGAUCCAAAAGACCAAGCUUGAGAUUUUACUGCUGGAACAUCAGUUAAGGGUGGGUGAAGUGGUCAGAGAUGGACGAAUUAUUUCAGUGUUUGAACAACAUAAUAAUAUACUUAUUAAUACUUUGUGUAGAGGAAAUACAGGCGACCAAUAAA